Molecule: long non-coding RNA, 655 nt
Organism: Talpa occidentalis (Iberian mole)
Lineage: Eukaryota; Metazoa; Chordata; Mammalia; Eulipotyphla; Talpidae
Exons: 4
Source: RefSeq, a predicted model, not a curated record
GUUCCUGUUUUCUUUAUUUAUACAGAAAAGGACUUGAGCUUGGACCAGAAUCCCAAUUCCAUCCUCAAUGAGGAGUCCACCACAAAGCUAGAGAGGUAUCUCCUGGGUCCUGGAAAUGGAGUGACCUGAGAAUCACAAUGUUCCUAGAGAUUCCUGCUACAGAGAUACUUCUUUGGACAAGAAAGAGGACACCAGUACGGAAUCGUGUCAGGAUCAUUCAGUCCAUGCUGCAAAAGAUACCAUGAGAGUUCACUUCUGCUUAAGCCAGUAUCCUCACUCUAAGAGGUUGGUUCUCCUCCAAGAAACAAUAUGUGGACCUCCUAAUAUGUCAGGUGAACUUGUUUUAUAAAUUGGGUCUUUAGAUUAGUAGCUUGGACCCUUAUCCAAUAAGACUGGUGUCCUCAUAAAGAAAGAGACAGGAAGAUGAAGUGAAAACACAGAGACAGCCAUCUACAUCAUGAGCCUCUGAUGUCACCAGAGGCUAGAAGAGAAACAUGGGAAAGAUUCUCCCUUCUGAUACUCAGCAGAAACCAUCUUGCCAACACAUCGAUUUUGGACUUCCAGCUGCCAGAACUGGGAAACAAUCACUUUCUGUUGUUCGUGCCACCCAAUUUGUGGUACUUUGUUAUGGCAAACCUAGCAAAUGAAAGCAGUA